RNAcentral lists this ribosomal RNA (490 nucleotides) under uncultured bacterium. RNAcentral's name for it is "partial 16S ribosomal RNA". It matches the Rfam family "Bacterial small subunit ribosomal RNA", at positions 30 to 507 of the family's 1533-position model. The record is from RNAcentral.
AUUGAACGCUGGCGGCAGGCCUAACACAUGCAAGUCGAACGGUAACAGGAAGAAGCUUGCUUCUUUGCUGACGAGUGGCGGACGGGUGAGUAAUGUCUGGGAAACUGCCUGAUGGAGGGGGAUAACUACUGGAAACGGUAGCUAAUACCGCAUAACGUCGCAAGACCAAAGAGGGGGACCUUCGGGCCUCUUGCCAUCGGAUGUGCCCAGAUGGGAUUAGCUAGUAGGUGGGGUAACGGCUCACUUAGGCGACGAUCCCUAGCUGGUCUGAGAGGAUGACCAGCCACACUGGAACUGAGACACGGUCCAGACUCCUACGGGAGGCAGCAGUGGGGAAUAUUGCACAAUGGGCGCAAGCCUGAUGCAGCCAUGCCGCGUGUAUGAAGAAGGCCUUCGGGUUGGAAAGUACUUUCAGCGGGGAGGAAGGGAGUAAAGUUAAUACCUUUUCUCAUUGACGUUACCCGCAGAAGAAGCACCGGCUAACUCCGUG